Molecule: ribosomal RNA, 263 nt
Filed under: uncultured Staphylococcus sp.
Lineage: Bacteria; Bacillati; Bacillota; Bacilli; Caryophanales; Staphylococcaceae
Description: partial 16S ribosomal RNA
Rfam family: Bacterial small subunit ribosomal RNA
Source: RNAcentral
UACGUAGGUGGCAAGCGUUAUCCGGAAUUAUUGGGCGUAAAGCGCGCGUAGGCGGUUUUUUAAGUCUGAUGUGAAAGCCCACGGCUCAACCGUGGAGGGUCAUUGGAGACUGGAAAACUUGAGUGCAGAAGAGGAAAGUGGAAUUCCAUGUGUAGCGGUGAAAUGCGCAGAGAUAUGGAGGAACACCAGUGGCGAAGGCGACUUUCUGNGUCUGUAACUGACGCUGAUGUGCGAAAGCGUGGGGAUCAAACAGGAUUAGAUAC